RNAcentral lists this ribosomal RNA (490 nucleotides) under fungal sp. AB45. RNAcentral's name for it is "eukaryotic LSU rRNA". The stretch from base 161 to 314 matches the Rfam family "5.8S ribosomal RNA". Lineage: Eukaryota; Fungi. The record is from RNAcentral.
UCCGGCGGGGAACCCCCCCGCCGGGUAGACCUCCACCCGUGCUUACCUACUCUUGUUGCUUUGGCGGGCCGUGGCCUCCACUACGGGCUCUGUUCGUACGUGCCCGCCAGAGGACCAAACUCUGAAUUUUAGUGAUGUCUGAGUACUAUUUAAUAGUUAAAACUUUCAACAACGGAUCUCUUGGUUCUGGCAUCGAUGAAGAACGCAGCGAAAUGCGAUAAGUAAUGUGAAUUGCAGAAUUCAGUGAAUCAUCGAAUCUUUGAACGCACAUUGCGCCCUGUGGUAUUCCGCAGGGCAUGCCUGUUCGAGCGUCAUUUAGACCACUCACGCCUAGCGUGGUAUUGGGGCACGCGGUCCCGCGGCCCUCAAAAUCAGUGGCGGCGCCGGUAGGCCCUAAGCGUAGUAAAUCUCCUCGCUAUAGGGUCCUCUCGGUGGCUCGCCAGAACCCCCAACUUUCUUAAGGUUGACCUCGGAUCAGGUAGGGAUACCC